AGGAAGUAAAAGUCGUAACAAGGUUUCCGUAGGUGAACCUGCGGAAGGAUCAUUAUCGAACAAGAAGGGGGAAAGACUGUCGCUGGCGAAAGCAUGUGCACGUCCAACCUUUUCUAUUACACACCCGUGCACCUUUUGUAGGUCCUCGAAAGAGGAUCUAUGUAUUUCAUCAUCACACCUAUCGUAUGUCUAGAAUGUCAUCGUCGACCACUGGGCGGCGAAAUAAAUAAUACAACUUUCAGCAACGGAUCUCUUGGCUCUCGCAUCGAUGAAGAACGCAGCGAAUUGCGAUAAGUAAUGUGAAUUGCAGAUUUUCAGUGAAUCAUCGAAUCUUUGAACGCACCUUGCGCUCCUUGGUAUUCCGAGGAGCAUGCCUGUUUGAGUGUCAUUAAAUUCUCAACCAUGACUUUGUUGACAUGGCUUGGAGUUGGGGGUUGCUGGCUUGUUUGUCAGCUCUCCUGAAAUACAUUAGCGGUGGACAAGCAAGGCCUUCCGACGUGAUAAUGAUCGUCGUGGGGCGGAGCAUCAACGUCUGUCUGCUUCUAAAUCCCAGAUGCCUUAGCUAGACAUCAUUUCGAACGCUGACCUC
RNAcentral lists this ribosomal RNA (589 nucleotides) under uncultured Xerocomus. RNAcentral describes it as "eukaryotic LSU rRNA". The stretch from base 234 to 388 matches the Rfam family "5.8S ribosomal RNA". Lineage: Eukaryota; Fungi; Basidiomycota; Agaricomycetes; Boletales; Boletaceae. The record is from RNAcentral.